RNAcentral lists this ribosomal RNA (148 nucleotides) under uncultured Enterobacter sp. RNAcentral describes it as "partial 16S ribosomal RNA". It matches the Rfam family "Bacterial small subunit ribosomal RNA", at positions 335 to 475 of the family's 1533-position model. The record is from RNAcentral. Lineage: Bacteria; Pseudomonadati; Pseudomonadota; Gammaproteobacteria; Enterobacterales; Enterobacteriaceae.
ACUCCUACGGGAGGCAGCAGUGGGGAAUAUUGCACAAUGGGCGCAAGCCUGAUGCAGCCAUGCCGCGUGUAUGAAGAAGGCCUUCGGGUUGUAAAGUACUUUCAGCGGGGAGGAAGGCGAUAAGGUUAAUAACCUUGUCGAUUGACGU